RNAcentral lists this ribosomal RNA (253 nucleotides) under uncultured bacterium. RNAcentral describes it as "partial 16S ribosomal RNA". It matches the Rfam family "Bacterial small subunit ribosomal RNA", at positions 524 to 776 of the family's 1533-position model. The record is from RNAcentral.
UACGUAGGGUGCAAGCGUUAAUCGGAAUUACUGGGCGUAAAGCGUGCGUAGGUGGUUUGUUAAGUCUGUUGUGAAAGCCCCGGGCUCAACCUGGGAAUGGCAAUGGAUACUGGCAGGCUAGAGUGCGGUAGAGGGUAGUGGAAUUCCCGGUGUAGCGGUGAAAUGCGUAGAGAUCGGGAGGAACACCAGUGGCGAAGGCGGCCCGCUGGGCAGUGGCUGACGCUGAGGCGCGACAGCGUGGGGAGCAAACAGG